CCCACUGGAAGGAGCGCACCGGGGACAGCUGCUCGAGCACCACAAAGAGCCUCAGCUUCUGAAUGUCCCAGACCCAGAUGGCGUUGGGGACGUUGUCUGGGAGGGAAAAAGGGCAGUGUCGCCACUGGCUCUGGGCAGCCCAAGCCCUUGAGAGCAACCCGGGAAGGAGCUGCAGUUGGGCCUCCACGGAAGUAGCUGUCAGCACUGAAGGCCAGCAUCCCUACGCCCAUCCUGGGGUUGGCCCUGUCAGCGGCUGGCUUCAAGGUCUGCAGGGAGACGGGCACAGAGGCGACCUCAUCUGGAGCAGCAGAGGAGGACACUGUGUCACCGGAAGUGGCUCAGGCAGGGGAUGGUGCCCAGGCUUCCGGGCCCUUGCAGAGGGGACCUGUGCUGACGGCAGGGCCCGUGGCGAGCAGCGCUGGGGCACCAGGCGAGCCGGGAGGGCACAGGAAUGCUCCUGAGGCCGGCACUCACACUCGGCGGUCACCCAGGAACCCCAGGCCACGUGCCUCAAGCAGAAUUGCACACACGAUGGACAGAACGUGGAAACUCACUUGCAAGCAGAGGCAUCUUUUUCAUUAAGCGAUAAAGGAGGGGCUCAAGGAAGAAAGAUGUGGCUCAGCGUGGCAGAGCACCAGGACCCCGGAAGGAAACAAGAAGACACGGACACACGCAAGUGCGCACACCCCAGCCGGCGGCAAGCUUACAUCUGCUCUCCGCGGUGGCAGUGAGGGGACAGGCGCCUGCUCGGGACGGCGGGAAGGACAGGUGGCCCAGCGCCAGCGGCGGGCUCUUCUUGGCUUCCUUGUACACAACCUGAAAGACAGGGCGGCCACCACCCAGCACGGGAGGGACGGAGGAAGCAGUGCCACACCAGAGGCCAGUGGGGGAGGCCGUGGUGGCACGGACACGGGAGGUCCCAGGGGCCCCUUGAAGGGGACAGUGGGACCUGGCCCUCCUCCUCUUCCUCCUCCUCCUCUGCUUCCAGCACCUGCUCUCAUCCCCCACAGCCAAGUGGCGGCAGAGUCUCACGCCGGGCCUGAAUGGGCCUCCUCCUUCAGCUCCCUCUCAGGCAUUCGCCACAGCCACGGAAACCUGUGCCCGGGCUUUCUCCUACAGCAGGGCGCAGGCUGCAGGCUGCAGGCAGAGCCCGGAAGCUGCGGCCAGUCCCACUCUGCAGGCCCCUGCCCUGCACUGCCUGGCUCAAGUCCCCGACGCCCUGCACGUCUGGCCAUCUUCACUCAGCAUCACCUCUGAAGGUCCCUGCCUGCAGCCCGGCCCCACUGACCACGGGGACUCAGCUCCUGCCACCCCGGCCCUGGCACCCAGCAGGUGGUGGGGCUGGUGAAUGCUGCUGCCAGGCCGCCAGGCUGCCCCAGAACCCUGUGCCUCUUGUUCCCUGGCCCUAGGGUGCUGCCUCGCUAGAGCCAAGACACCCAGCCCCAGCCCUUCCCCAUCCAUCCUGUCCCCGCUUCUCUGGCUGAGGCCCAGGGCACAGUGCUCAGCAGGAGGGCAGAUGGUCCGUGUUUUGGGGCAGGGCUUGGUCUCUGCCUUUUCAUACAAGGAUCUACCUUGGGACAGAUGGAGACUGUGACACCUGGCUGGGGACGGGCAAAGGAAGAGCCUGUGAGUGAUAUGACAGGAAAUAUAAACUGGGCACAGUGGUGCACGCCUCUAAUCCCAGCACUCGAGAGGCUGAGGCAGGAGGAUCACUGUGAGUUCGUGGCCAGCCUAGGCUACAUAGUGAGUUCAAGGCCACACUGAAAUAGGUAGUGAGACCUCGCCUCCAAAAACCAACAAAAGACAAGAGCAUGGGUGGAGCCUGGCACUGAGAUGUCCUAAUGUCUUAUCGGCAAAGUGUAGGGUGACAGAGGAACGGGGACAGUGGCAUCACAGUGGCCACCGUGAAGUGAAACAGCAGCUCCCACCCACCCAAGGCGAAGCAGAAACACACUCCAGACUUACUGUCUUGGGGUUGUUGACGGCUGCAGGAUGCCCAAACUCCGUGAUCAUCUUCCAGGUCACGUGGUUCAGGAGCCGCACCUGCAGAGGGGAUGGUGGAAGCUGACGCCUGCUCAGGUGGCCCUGUGGGGUCCGCACGCCCUGUCCCCUGUCUGUGGCCCACCUUUCCGUCAUAGCUCCCGAUUGCCAGGAACUGGCUGCUGGGGCUCCAGGCCACAGACUUGAUGCCCAGGGACCACUCGUAGGCACAGAACACCGAGAGCAGGCGGCCAUCCAGGGAGUACAGCAGCAUCUUGUACUGGGGCCGAGACAGUGACACUGCACCAUCACCUGGCAUGUGGCACAGACAUGGCACCCGGGGGGAGCAGAUGGCUCUCCUCCUCGGGAGCUGCGGGUGGAGCAGAGAGCCAGGGAACGCCAGCCAUGGCCGGCCGGGUGCAGCUCAGCAGUGAGCGCUUCCCGAGCAAGCGUGAGGCCCUGGGCUCCAUCCCCAGCUCCAGGGAGAGUUCCGGUCAAGAUGUGAAGGAGACAAAGCCACACAGCCCGGAAAAAUGCAGGUGGGCACUGCAGAGAGCGCAUGUCCUGCGGCUCGUACCUCCAGGCAGGUGUCCCACACUGCCAGCACGCAGCCGUUGGGGGCCCACUCCAAGCCGGCCAGGUCCUGCGUGUCAGUGUCGAAGUGCUUCCAAAGCAGAAGGAGAAAGACACGCGAUGACUUGAAGCCAUCUGCUUAAAGAAACCCUGGUUUAUUUUAUAACUGCUGUAACAUGUUUAGCACUUAAUUUUCUAAUACAAAAGUGGACAAAAUCUC
Heterocephalus glaber (naked mole-rat) is the source of this 2773-nucleotide non-coding RNA. Lineage: Eukaryota; Metazoa; Chordata; Mammalia; Rodentia; Bathyergidae. The record is from RefSeq and is a predicted model, not a curated record.